UACGGGGGGAGCAAGCGUUGUUCGGAUUUACUGGGCGUAAAGGGCGCGUAGGCGGCCACCGCAAGUCGACUGUGAAAUCUCCGGGCUUAACCCGGAAAGGUCAGCCGAUACUGCGGGGCUAGAGUGCAGAAGGGGCAACUGGAAUUCUCGGUGUAGCGGUGAAAUGCGUAGAUAUCGAGAGGAACACCUGCGGCGAAGGCGGGUUGCUGGGCUGACACUGACGCUGAUGCGCGAAGGCUAGGGGAGCGAACGGG
RNAcentral lists this ribosomal RNA (254 nucleotides) under uncultured bacterium. RNAcentral's name for it is "partial 16S ribosomal RNA". It matches the Rfam family "Bacterial small subunit ribosomal RNA", at positions 524 to 776 of the family's 1533-position model. The record is from RNAcentral.